AAAUUGAAGAGUUUGAUCAUGGCUCAGAUUGAACGCUGGCGGCAGGCCUAACACAUGCAAGUCGAACGGUAACAGGAARCAGCUUGCUGYUUCGCUGACGAGUGGCGGACGGGUGAGUAAUGUCUGGGAAACUGCCUGAUGGAGGGGGAUAACUACUGGAAACGGUAGCUAAUACCGCAUAAYGUCGCAAGACCAAAGAGGGGGACCYUCGGGCCUCUUGCCAUCGGAUGUGCCCAGAUGGGAUUAGCUUGUUGGUGGGGUAACGGCUCACCWAGGCGACGAUCCCUAGCUGGUCUGAGAGGAUGACCAGCCACACUGGAACUGAGACACGGUCCAGACUCCUACGGGAGGCAGCAGUGGGGAAUAUUGCACAAUGGGCGCAAGCCUGAUGCAGCC
Molecule: ribosomal RNA, 396 nt
Filed under: Escherichia coli
Lineage: Bacteria; Pseudomonadati; Pseudomonadota; Gammaproteobacteria; Enterobacterales; Enterobacteriaceae
Description: bacterial SSU rRNA
Rfam family: Bacterial small subunit ribosomal RNA
Source: RNAcentral